CAAAGUCCCAAAAAACAACAACAGUGACAGCGAUUUUUCCCUGUAAAUUACUAAUUCUUCUCAAAAAAAAAAUAAUAAAGAGAAGAUUUUUAAAUAGAACGACGAAGAGAUAAUUGAAAGGGGACUUCUUAAGAACCUUCGUCCCUGUUUUACAGUUUACAGAGAUGCGAUGUUCUUCUUAUUCCCCCUUCCUGAGUAGUUAGUUUCAGACUUUCAGGUCUCCAAUUA
Molecule: long non-coding RNA, 228 nt
Organism: Telopea speciosissima
Lineage: Eukaryota; Viridiplantae; Streptophyta; Magnoliopsida; Proteales; Proteaceae
Exons: 3
Source: RefSeq, a predicted model, not a curated record